AUUCCAGCUCCAAUAGCGUAUAUUAAAGUUGUUGCGGUUAAAAAGCUCGUAGUUGGAUUUCUGCCGAGGACGACCGGUCCGCCCUCUGGGUGAGUAUCUGGCUCGGCCUGGGCAUCUUCUUGGAGAACGUAUCUGCACUUGACUGUGUGGUGCGGUAUCCAGGACUUUUACUUUGAGGAAAUUAGAGUGUUUCAAGCAGGCUUACGCCUUGAAUACAUUAGCAUGGAAUAAUAAGAUAGGACCUCGGUUCUAUUUUGUUGGUUUCUAGAGCUGAGGUAAUGAUUAAUAGGGACAGUUGGGGGUAUUCGUAUUCCUUUGUCAGAGGUGAAAUUCUUGGAUUUAUGGAAGACGAACUACUGCGAAAGCAUUUACCAAGGAUGUUUUCAUUA
RNAcentral lists this ribosomal RNA (389 nucleotides) under Prorocentrum sp. Its description in RNAcentral is "partial small subunit ribosomal RNA". It matches the Rfam family "Eukaryotic small subunit ribosomal RNA", at positions 582 to 975 of the family's 1831-position model. Lineage: Eukaryota; Dinophyceae; Prorocentrales; Prorocentraceae. The record is from RNAcentral.